GCGCCGGUGGUCCAGUGGUAGGACAUUGGCUUCCCAAGCCAAUAGCCCGGGUUCAAUUCCCGGCCGGCGCA
Molecule: transfer RNA, 71 nt
Filed under: Haloarcula salina
Lineage: Archaea; Methanobacteriati; Methanobacteriota; Halobacteria; Halobacteriales; Haloarculaceae
Also listed under: 12 other names
Description: tRNA-Gly
Rfam family: tRNA
About the family: Transfer RNA (tRNA) molecules are approximately 80 nucleotides in length. Their secondary structure includes four short double-helical elements and three loops (D, anti-codon, and T loops). Further hydrogen bonds mediate the characteristic L-shaped molecular structure. tRNAs have two regions of fundamental functional importance: the anti-codon, which is responsible for specific mRNA codon recognition, and the 3' end, to which the tRNAs corresponding amino acid is attached (by aminoacyl-tRNA synthetases). tRNAs cope with the degeneracy of the genetic code in two manners: having more than one tRNA (with a specific anti-codon) for a particular amino acid; and 'wobble' base-pairing, i.e. permitting non-standard base-pairing at the 3rd anti-codon position.
Source: RNAcentral